Pelobates cultripes (western spadefoot toad) is the source of this 229-nucleotide non-coding RNA. The record is from the annotation of a GenBank genome assembly. NCBI's taxonomy places the organism in Eukaryota, Metazoa, Chordata, Amphibia, Anura, Pelobatidae.
CUUUUUAAUUUGGGGGAAUUUUUUUUCCUGGUGUGUAUAAAAUGUGAACAGAUUAUUUCCCAGUAGAAUCAUGUGUGGUGUAUUGUGUCUAAAGGAAACGGAACAUAUUGCAAACGUUCAUUGUUCUGGAGCCAUGGUUUUUAAACAUCAGACAUCCACCUGUAGGGGGAAGAAAUUCCCAUGACUCUUCGCAGCCUGUUACUGUGCUUUUGUUGGCACUUAGUUUGUG